UACGAAGGGGGCUAGCGUUGUUCGGAAUCACUGGGCGUAAAGCGCACGCAGGCGGAUCGUUAAGUCAGGGGUGAAAUGCCGAGGCUCAACCUCGGAACUGCCUUUGAUACUGGCGAUCUUAGAGUCCGGGAGAGGUGAGUGGAACUCCGAGUGUAGAGGUGAAAUUCGUAGAUAUUCGGAAGAACACCAGUGGCGAAGGCGGCUCACUGGCCCGGUACUGACGCUCAGGUGCGAAAGCGUGGGGAGCAAACGGG
Molecule: ribosomal RNA, 254 nt
Filed under: uncultured bacterium
Lineage: Bacteria
Description: partial 16S ribosomal RNA
Rfam family: Bacterial small subunit ribosomal RNA
Source: RNAcentral